RNAcentral lists this long non-coding RNA (21203 nucleotides) under Populus trichocarpa (black cottonwood). Its description in RNAcentral is "long non-coding RNA (PTRI_LNC002468)". Lineage: Eukaryota; Viridiplantae; Streptophyta; Magnoliopsida; Malpighiales; Salicaceae. The record is from RNAcentral.
UUUUUUCCAUCAUUUGAAAUCACAUAAUCACGUGAGCUUGAAACCAAGAUAGAGCUUAUGGUUUGAUUCUUCUUAGCAUUCUCUUCUUGCUCUUUCAGGAAAUUCAGUCUAUCAAGGUUGAACGGAUACCCAUCCACGCCAUGUUCCUUGACAGUGCUGACUCCAUCAUCGCAGGAAACCUUGCCAUUCGUAUCAAAAAUGACAAGAUUAGGGAUCCCUCUUACUUUGAACACUUCCUUAAGACGUUUGCGGGUCUCCGUAUCAGAGAAGGGAAUAGCAAGCCAUGGCAUUUCGGAGAAGUACGUGUUGAAGGAUUCAUCAUCUCUGUCAGAAGAAAUGAAGACCACCUCAAAGUCCCCUUUGGAUGAUAGCUGUUCAUAGACUUCUACCAACAACGGAGUGAAAUUACGGCACGGCCCGCACCACGAACCAGAGAAGUAGAAUCCCACAAUCUUCCCAACCAAAUUGCUGACCUUAACCUAAAAAUUAAUUUCGAAAAUUAUCAGAAAAAAAAUCAGCCCUUAACGAAUCAAAAUCUUAUUCAUGGUUUCUUUCUCUUGCCAGUGAGAGAUGCAACAAAAAAAAAGAGCUUUUUCUUAAUCAUAAAAGCUUCAGAAAUUGGUCAUAAAUUUGUUCUUCAGCAAGGCUUUGCAGUCUAAUUUAAACAUGAUAUGCAUCUUAAUUACUAGAAAAACCUACAAGUUCAUAUAAAAAAAGACGUCAACUUAUAAUAAGACAAGAAGAAGUAGAAUUGAAUAAGAUCAGAGAAACUCAUAUGCUAAAAGCAGUACCUGAUCACCAUUGUUGCGGAUGAGAAAGUCCCUCUCUUCUGAAGAAAGAAGCUUUGAAAGGUCGAGAGAAACGUCUUCGGUGGCCAUAGCUAGCUAUGUGAUGAACUACUCAAAAGGCUAGAACAAUUGCCAAUCCCAGUUGCUGUGUAAUGGAACUUCCAGGCUAAGGCUCCUUUAAAGUACCUGCUCGCCCGGCCUAGGAAAUUAUUAUUCUAAUUAGUCAACGACAACUUCAAGGCUUGGUGUCGGGUGAUGACGAAGACCUUAUGACGUAGGUCCGCUGAAGUGGUAAUUCGCAUUAUUACGUGCUUCUAGAAAUCUCCUCUUGCUUUUUUAGCUUUUAUUUUGAAUAACGCAGACAUGCUGAGUCACUUGGCCCAACAAACAUGCCUUGUUUUUAGCCUCUUUUUUUUUUUUUCUUUAUCUUUAUCCUUAAGUUUUAAUUUAAUUUCCUUAAAAUUAAUUAUUUAAAAACAUAUUAAGGAUGUUAUUUUAGUAAAUACUUAAAUUAUUAAAAUUAUAUAUGAAAUAUUAUUUUAUUAAAUAUCAUUUAAUCUUUAAUUUAUUUUCAAAUAAAAUUAUAAUAUCAUUCUUAUAAUAUUAGUAUGAAUUGUUUUUCACAACCCAUCAUGAUUUUUUUUUAUCUGUACAUAUACGUUGUCAAAAAAUAUAAUAAUAGAUUCUAAAAAACAAUUAAGGAUACUAUUGAACUAUAAAAUGAUAAUUGAUUAAGAGCAUAUUAAAAAAUGUGAUAGAAAUUGUAUUUUAAAAUAGUUUUUAUUGGAAAUAUAUUAAAAAAUAUUUUUUUUAAUUUUAAAAAAUUUAUUUUUGAUAUCAAUAUAUUAAAACAAUCUAAAAUACUUUAAAAAUAUAUUAUUUUUUUAAAAUUUAAGCAAAUAGUAUUUUAAGCAGUACUAAACACCCCAUUUUACUAUAAACAAAAUCAUCAUAUUUUUAAUCUAUUUAUCACAUCAUGAAACAUCAUGAUGAUUAAUUAGCAAACACAACACCACCGUGUAGAAACCAUGUGUGACACUUCAAAUUCAUCGUAACAAAUUGAUCAAAUUAUAAAAUAAUCCUUAUACUUCUAAGAAAUUAGUAGCUCACUCCCUUUAUUUAAAAGAAGCCAUAUUUUACCUCCAUGUUAUCAUUUCCAUUUACUAUAACUUAGUUCUUCCUUUAGUUUUACAUUGUAAAAGUGCUAAACCAUCAUUUUAGGUAUUAGUUAAAAAAAAGUAUCUAUUAACAGAUUGACGGUCAAAGCUUCUCAAUUGAGUAACUUUUUUGUUUUUAAAAAACAGAAGGACUAACAUGUUGGUCUAUUGAAAAUGUAAGGAUUCAAUUAUAAUUUAAUUCAAGAAACAAAUAUGAUGCUAUUGACAUGUCCACAAGUCCACUGGCACAAUUAUUGCUUAUAACCCAUCACCUAUCAAUAGUGAUGGGGGAGGGGGGGGCCAGAAGUGUCCUUCUCCCGUAGGGUAAAAGCCCAGCAGUGUCCUCCCCCAUCGUAGGGUGGUCCAAACACAAGAUGGCUAGAGAUACUAAGAACCUGUUUGGUAUUGCGGUAGCUAUUAUGGUUGUGAUUUUAAAAAAGUUAUUUUAUAAAAAUUAUUUUUAGUUAAGGUUGGUUUAAUAAAAUAGGUGUUUGGUUAAAAUUGUGGUUGAAAUUGAGGUUGAACAAAAAGUAGUUUAAUGUGUUUGGUUAAUAAUGCUUUUGAAAUUGAGGUUAUAAAAUAAUUUUAAAAAAUAUAUAUUAAUAUUGAUGUUUUUUAAUUUAAAUAUUGUAGAUUUAACUAUUAUUAUUACAUCAUGAAAUAAAUCAUACUUUAUAUAAAAUAUUUUUUAUUGAUUCAUUAAACCAUCUACAUUUCUAUCACGUACGAAAUACAUCCGACAAGAACUACAGUUUUCAUAAUUUUUUAGCGUGUAAUAAAAUUAGAUAAAAUAUUAUCAUGUAUAAAACUAGUUUUUUUUUAAAAAAAAUGUUAAAAAAAUUAACACACUAAAAAAAAAGUGUCCACACAGUGCAAGUGAACAAUGCAAGAGAAUUGCACUGUUCACUAUUUUUAAGUGAACAGUGCACUUUUCUUGCACUGUUCACAUGAACAGUGCAUCACUAUGCACUGUUCAUGUUAAUUGAACAGUGCAAUUAACAUGAAUAGUGCAAAAAAAGUAAGGAAUUCUUGCUUUUUAAAUACUGCGUUUCCAACACAAAAAAGAAAUAGGAUCCAGUAAACAGUAUAUCUUUUUUUUUUAAUCAAACAACUACAAUUACGUUUUAAAUAAAACGCAACCGCAGUCACUGUGAUAAAAAUUAUUAUUAUCACCAUUAUUACCAUCAUAAUAAACUAUUAUUUUUAUUUUUAUUGCUGUUAUUGUUACUCUUAUUAUUAUUAUCAAAAAAUUUAUCAUCAUCAAUAAUAUUAUCACACCUAUUAAUAUCAUCAUCAUAAAUAAUAUUGUUAUUUUCAUUAUUAUUUUUAUUACUACUACUAUCAUCACUAUUUUUAUAACUAACAUUACUAUUAUUAUUUUUAUUUUUAUCACCACCAUCACCACCACAAGUCCACAACCACCACCACCACCAUUAUUGAAAAAGAAAAAACCUUAAACUUGAUUUGAAUAGAAUUGAAAACUAUAAAUUUUUUUAUAAAAAGACUAGGAAAAACAAUAAGAAAUUAAAAGAAUAUGGACCAAAUUGAAAUCAUUAUUAUUAUCAUUGGCAAAAUAAAAAAUUAUAAACUUGAUUUGAAGAAUAAAACUGAAAGUAAUAAAAACUUUGAUAAAAAAACAAAGAAAAAAAAUUAAAAAUUAAAAGAAAAGAAGACCGAAUAUAUACAAAUUAAAAAUCAAGGGUUAAAUUGAAAAAAAAACUUUCCCAAAAGGAAAAAUGAUCAAAAUACCAAAAUCAAAACUAAAAGAACUGAAUUUGAAAUACCAAUAACAAUGAGGUCCAUAGUGCUUUUCGGGGGGCAGGAAAAAAAACAAAAGGAAAAAAAAAGGAUCACUAGCAAUAAACCAAAUAUAUUUUAACUACACAAGCCACCUAUUAUAAAAGAGGAGACAGUGAGACAUCAAAUUACACAGCAGAAGGACAAUUUUUAUCAUUGGGAGUCGCUGCAUGCACCGUCCAAAUUACACAACAGCUCCCAUGUGAUGGCUCGUGUUGUGCACGUAGCAACAACUUUUUUAAAAUAAAAAAAUAUUAUUUAAAUGUUAAAUUGCAUUACUAUCCUCAACCAAAUCAACAAUUAACAAAAAAAAAAACAAGAGUAAAAGACCCUAAUACCCUUGAUCCCAAUGAAUUAAUUUUUUUAGAUCCAAGGGUACAUGUGUAAUUUCACUAUGUAUUAAAAAUAAAAAAUACCUAUAUACUCCUAUAUGAAACUAUUGAUUUUUUUUACUCCUAGAGGUAUUUUUUUUAUUUUAUUUUUCAUUAAAUAUUAAAAAUAUAAAAAUGCCCUCAAACAAACCUCUAAUAAUUAAUAUUCUGUGUGAAAUUACCAAAAUACCUCUGAAUCAAAGGUAAAUAAUUUUUUUUAAGGCUAUAGACAUUAUUUCACUAUUGUAAUGGAUAGUAAUAUGACUCUAUAGCCAUAAUGAAUUUGCCUUUUUUUUAGUAUUUUUUUUAUAAUUAGUCAACUAUACUUCAAGACUUGGCUGGUGUCAGGUGAUGACAAAGAUAUAAUGAUGUAUAUUAGAUGCUUAUAUAAAUCUCUUGUUUUUUUAAAAAAAAUGAAAAACAUAUUCCAUUUUGUAAUCUUUUUUUUUUCCGUUUGUAUCAUAGUUUUUAAACCCGACCUGGUGGUCGACCCAGUAUAAUAAUUGGGUCACGGGUCAGAUGGGUUGACUCGGGUUAAUAAAAAAAAAAAUAAUUUCUUGCUUGCCCUUGGACUAAUAAUAAUAAUAAGCAUCAUUGAAAAAAAGAAAAGUUUCUAGAGAAUAACCCUGCUUGCCACUCAUGUUUGACCAGAUCCAAAACCAAACAUUGAUUGCCCUUAUAUAAUUAGCACAAUCACCCUCACAACACAGUACACACAAAUCCCUACCCCGCUCUUUACAAACCACCUUCCCGCCACCUCCACAGCCACCACAAGCCCACCAUCACCUUCUCAAUUUUGGGAUUCAAAGUUCCUUCUCAAAGGCGUAGAAGAGAUUACGAAAUACAAGAGCAAUGCCUACCUUCACAACCACAACUAUUAUGUCAUCUCAAAGCAGCAACCUUAGUCUCCACAAACUCAAGAUUAACCCAAAAACACAAUCAAACAUAGUCACAAUUGGUGGGUGAAUUUUUCAAACAACAGACUAAACCCUAACUCAAGCAGAUCUGAAAUCCCUCUUUUCCUAACUCUCCAAGCUGAAUCAACUUGUUCCCUAUUUCAUCAAUCGAGACCCUAAUUUAUUCUCUAUUCUCUUAUCCCUCUUGAGAACCGGAAAUCUCCCCUCAAAGACCAAGUUUUCUGUGAAGAGUCAAAGUUUUACAAGAUUGAAGAGAUUAGUUUUCUGUGAUUCUGUAUUUAUGUUACAAAUGAUUUGAAGCAAAAGAAUUAAUUUGAUUGCUGCAACUCUCAUCUUAAUUUAUUAGAGAAGAAAAAUCGAGCUAAAACCGUGAAGCCUAGUUUAAAUGAACGAACAAUUAACUUUUAUACGUGGGAUCUUGCACGUGAAGCCUAGGAAAGGGCAAUGGCCAAAUAGAGAGACCCUGUUUUUAGAGGGGAGGAAAAUAGAAUUUUUAAAUACAAUAACUAUCAUUUGGCAAUUAACGGUAUCUUCUGAGUUGUGACUUUUCCGCAAUCAAAAGCACAAUUGAUUUUUAUUAAGUUUUUUUAAAAAUUUCAACUCUCACCCGCACAAUAAUAUUUUUAAUAAUCAAUCCAUCUCAAAUUAUUAAAAAAAAUUAAAUACAAAAUAAAUUCUAAGUAAUUUUGAAAAAAUAACAAAAAAAUUCUAAAUAAAAUAAAAAAAAUAUCUUAAUUCAAUUAGGUAAGCAUAAUAGCUUAUGGUUUUUUUCGUAAUGCCUUCUCAAUAUCUAAUUGAUAUUAUAUUUUAACUUUAUAUGAAAUUUUUUACUCAAUUCAAUAAUCAAAUCAAAAGUUAUAUCUAUUAACAUAAAACUAUAUAUUAGAAAAACAAGCUCAAUUCACGUGUGAGUAGGAAAAAAAAUUGAAUCCAUAAGUCUUGUAAUAAAUAAGACCCAAAUAUCUUAAAUUAACCAUUAAAUGCCUUUUUAACCUUCUUAGCUCCUAACUCCUAACUUUUUAAUAGAUCCAAUUGGCACAUGUAUUAGAUCAUGUAGUAUUGCUUGAUAAGUCUCAACAACAAUUUUUCAAUUCAUCCAAAUUGAUAAGAAGAAAAAUAAAUGAAAUAUGGAAAACCACUCUCUAUAAAGAAAAUGACAAUAAAAUCUUCCAUCAAACUCUUAACCAUCUCAUUGCAAAAAACCCUCUCGUCGGUCGUCGAAACCACCAAAAUAUAAUUCUGACUUAAUUAUCACAAACAAAAUAAAUUUAUAGUAUGAUCGUGAAAACCAGGUCAAACUCAAGGAAAAUUUUGUUUAAUCUUCCUACAAUAUACUGAAAUGAGAAAGAAUGAGAGAUUUGGAUGAAAAAUUCAAGAAACAAUAAUUCUGAAAAUAAUAAAUUGAUGUCGUUAAAUCAGUUCAAGGAUCCACACAUUCAUUCCUAUAAAUCUGUUGAUCAUCGAAGUAAAAUAAAUAUUCUUUCGCAUCAAACAAAUAAACUCGAUAUCCCUUAAAGCUGAGGAAAAUCGAUGAGAUUAUAAGUUCAUUAAUUAGAAAAAGCUCUUUAAUUAAUUUCUUACCAUCAAAGGAAUGUAAUAUUGAAAGCAAUUUUCAUUUACUCGGUAGUAGUCUUAGAAAUAAAAUCUAUGCAUUUAUUCUAAGCAAACAUUCAAAAGAUUGACAAUUUUAACUUAGUUUAUUCUUCUCUAAUAAAUUAAGAUGAGAGUUACAGCAAUCAAAUUAAUUCUUUUGCUUCUUACUCUAGUUCCUAACAACAAUUACGGAUUGAAAAAAACUAGAAAGCAUACAUGCCAUCUCAAAACAAUUCAAUAAGCUUGAAUAACAAUCAAUAACAUAAUUCUGAACAAGAAAAAAUGAAUACUUGAAUAUGAUAGAAUUACAAUGAUAAUGUUACUUCUCACAACAUGUUAAUGGAGAUGGUGUGUAUCCCUCUUGAACCUAAUUCAGGAGUUUAGUUCAUAGUUGCUGAAAAAUUGACAAAAGCAGAGAAGAAAGGAAUGUUUUUCGACUCUUGUUUCAGCUGUGUUCUGCUUUCUUUAUCCUCCCCAUAUGCUACCGAAAUCUUCAGGAUUCUUAAACUAAUUAGGAGUCUUCAUGAUAUUAAAUUCGUUCCUUCUUUAUCUGGUCUUUAAGGUUGGAUAAAUCUCUCAGAAUUUAUCUUGAAAUCUGCUUCUGCUGUUAUCAUAAUUUUAUUGUAAUACCAACUCUGUUGUAAUUUAGACUUCGAUUCUGACUUGGUUUCUUGUAAUAUCCGACCAUUCCAACUAUAUUCUUUCAUUCAUGACAUGUUAAAGGCUUGAUCUGCACCUUUCUUGGGUCCUAAGACCCAUCUUUUUUAUGUCAGACUCUCAGCCUUAUUGGGAUACUCGGCACCAUUAGUUUCCAAAUCAGAUCAGGGGACCCAUUUUGACCAACCAGAUUGUGUCCAUAUUCUGUCCUUCAAAUCGAUUUUAUCUAACUUUAAGUCUUUCAUGAAAGUUGUAAUCCUGGAUGUGUAGAUGAAUUUUGGUUUUGAAUCACCUACUUUCGAUAUCAAAAACUCAAGAUAUUCCCGUUUGAAUCUCUAGUGUAAAAGCAGAGAAUCCUGCUGCGAGAAGAACUCUGGCCCGAGUUUGCAGGUCUGAUUCGAGGUCCAAAUGAGAUCGGAAUUUUGCCCAUAAUACUUUCCUGGAAAGCUUGACACGUGUACUUCAACUUAGAAUAGCCCACCUUCUCAUUUUAGAACUCUAACUUGACAAAAAACUUGUCACAAGAAGCUAGGUCUAAAACAUAAAAUGCAAAAUUUCUUAUGUUUUAACGAUUAAUUCACGAAGUCUCUUCUGCAUGUCAAACUCAUAAAAAUAACUUCCAAUCAACUCAAAUAAGUUCAAAAUACAUUAAAAAGCAUAGUGCAAAUGGAAUAAAAACUAUGUAUAUUUUGCACUUAUCAUCCUUACAAACAUAGCAUAAGCAGUUAUCUCAAAUUUCAUACCAUUAUUUUGUCAAUUUUUUGCACAAUCAAUAUCCCUGACAUGACUUGAUGUCAAACUUGUUGUUAAUGACUUAAUAGAUAACAAGACUAAGAAAUUUUGAUCUUUCAUCUUCAUAAUUUUGAAAAUAAAUCUAUUAAAAAGUUAUGUAUGUUAUGUUGACAAGUCAACAAAACAAUGCAUAACUACUGAGUUUUUCAAACUAAAACUCCAUAGAUAUAUACAUGUGAAAUCCCCGAUGCUAAAUGAAAUCAUAAAAGAAAGAUCUCAUAGAGUAAUUUCCAGGAACAUUUUUCAUGCAAUAAAUAAAGUAAGAGGUUGGUAUUUUUGUGUGUGUGUAUUUAGUCAUUUAAAAGUUAGAACAUAAUAAGAUUAAUAGACAAUGCAUUACAGUAAACUAGCAAUUGGUAAACUCAAAAGAUGCAAGACUUUCCACAAUGCCUCUGGUCUUCGAUUUCAGUAAAUAUCCAAGGCUACAAAACACAUUGAAUAUUAUUCUAAAAGAAAAUCUUGAUUUUAAGGAAAUGAGGAUAUGAUUUGGUAACAAUUACUUAAAAUGUUGAAAUUAACAAGUCAAAGCUCCAUACUCUUAAUUUUAGAAACCGUUUCAAUUUUUUUUUUGCUAAAAUUUAAUAUGUAUUAUAUGUUUUGAAUCGUUUUGAUGUACUGAUGUUAAAAAUAAUUUUUUAAAAAUGAAAAAACAUCAUUGGCAUGCAUUUCAGCAUAAAAAGUUAUUUGAAAAGCAACCGCAACCACACUGCAAAACAUACCCACCAAUGCAACUUUAACUAUCAUGCAUGAAGAAAUCUUAGGGCAAUUAGACUUGCGUUUAUUCAAAUCUACAUAUGAAAAAAAAAUCCCCAUUUCCUAAAACUCGCAAAGAUCUAGCACUUUGAUGCAUUAUUAUAAAUCCAAAUCGGCAAGCUUGCUAUAACAUUGCUUACAUGAUCGCCCAUGAAUUAUCACAGCAAUUAGCUCCCUAGUUUCCAAUAUUCGCAAUUAAUGAGUCAAUAUGGUUUUUUCCUUUGAAACAACUUGUCCACGUGAAUCACAUCUGCAUAAGAAAAGACAAUAUAAGCCAUAAAAAUUGAUCUAUACCAUAACCAGUCCUGAUAUUGACAAAGGAAAGUUAAAGGCUACAUUUGCAAGCUAUAUUCAUCAAACAUGUUACAACGUGUUGAAUUAGUAAGAUGUAAAUCCUUUAGCAAAGAAAACAAUAAGAUGGUUAAACAUGCGGGCUUGCCGAGCCACCUUUACCUGUUUUAAGUCUUUAUUUUUAUCUUUUGGAUAUUUUCCUUAAAUUUUAAUUAUAUUUCAUUAAAACUAAUCAUUUAAAAAUAUAUUAGCUUAAAUUAAUUAAGAAUAUAUUUGGGGUAUUAUUUUAUUAAAUAUCAUUCAAUUUUUACUUUUCUUUAUACAACCUAUCGUGAUUUUUUUUAAUUUAUUCCGACGAGUAAUUAUUUUUAUUAUGAUAUAAUUAAAUGAAAAAUAAGCUUAAAAAAUAGAUUUAUUAAACCAAGCUAGGUUUAAUAUGGGUUGAACCAAGUCAAUUCAAAAUAUUAUCAUCUUAAUAUUAGAAAAACAUCACCAAUAAAUUUCACAUAAUAACACGCAAAUAGUAUGUUGUUCUUAUGUUUUGUUUCAAUUGAAUUUAAAUUGUUUCUCUUCUUCUAAAAACAUUAUUGCCAUAUAAUCAAAUAAAAAAAACUAAAGAGUUAUUAAUGAUUUAAAAUAAGAUAUAUAUAUAUAUAUAUAUAUAUAUAUAUAUAUUUAUUAGCUUCCUAAAUUAUUUUUUAGUUAAUGUUAAUGAUUUUUUAACAUUUAUUUGCAUAUAAUUUUCAAUCAAUUUUACUAGAUAAAUAUAUGGAGUUCAUAAUAAUUAUUUUUAUUAGAAAAUUUAUUGAAAAUAUAUAAUGUUCUUUUUUAAAAUUAAAAAAAAUAAAAUUAAGUUGACAUGUGCCGGAGCGCAAGCCUCCUAGCCGCUACUCUUCACUGGGACCAUUGAGUGGUUGGUCUAGAUAAUAUCGAUGUCGUCGUUGUAGUUUCCUGAGUCACUGGCUCUUCAAGAAUAAAUUAUUAGCAUACAUAAUAUCGAUGUCGUCUUUGUAGUUUCCUCGACGCGUCACUGGCUCUUCAAGAAUAAUUAUUAGUAUAGAUAUUUUUAUGUUUUUAAAAUAUUUUAAAAAAAAAUUAUUUUUUUAUUUUAAAUUAAUUUAUUUUAGUGUUUAUAGAAUUGAUUUGAUGUGUUAAUAUUAAAAAUAAUUUUUUAAAAAUAAAAAAAUUGUUUUAUUAUAUUUACAAGAUAAAAAUAUUUUCAAAAACAAUUGUAAUUAUAUUUUUAUAAGCCCCAUAUAUUCACCUAGCUAUAUGUUGUUUGAGAGUGGGUACAAAUAAAGAUUUGUUAAAAAUUAAUUUUUUAUUUUAUUUAAAAUUAAUUUUUUAUUUUUAGAUUAUUUCAAUAAGUUAAUAUCAAAAUAAAUUUUAAAUAAUAAUAAAAUAUUAUUUUAAAGUAUUUUUACAUACCUUGUACUAGAUUCACAGUAUCAAGAGAAGAAGGGUUGCUAGUUGCUACCGGAGAAGUUAGUUUCAUUGAUUGAUGGAAUGUUAUACUUUAGAAAUCAAAUAAUAUGGUGUCACGAGAAUUAAGCAAAUAGAAAAGCAUUAAAUUUAUGGAAAUCCUUUCCUGUUCUGCGAGGGGAAGGAGUUAGUGGUCUUGAUGUAGUUGUUGGCUUUGCUAACUUUUCCUGUUUUCUAUUAAAGUGUGGUUGUAGUUAUUUUUAAAAAUAUUUUUUUGUGUUGAAAUAUAUCAAAAUAAUAUAUUUUUUAUUUUUUAAAAAUUAUUUUUAAAAUUAGCGCAUCAAAACGAUACAAAACACAUAAAAAAAUUAAUUUUUAAUAAAAAAAUAGAAAUUUCUAGAAACACAAUUUAUUCGCGUUCCGAAACGGUGCCAUAACGGUUGCUUGGAUUGGAAAUUCUUGUUUCUUUUACGGUGGAGUUACAAUGGUUUCAUUGUAUAAUGUUCGUUAAGUCACAAUCAGCCCAGUUUUUGUAUUUAAUCAGCAUUACAAUUACAGGAAUAUUUGCUCCAGAGGUGAAGCUGGUUCUUCAUCCAGCCAAAUAGAAACAAAGAGAGCGGCACAAUGGCAUCAUGCAUAGCAUUUUCCUUUAGGAAUGACAAAACCCUCAUAUCAAGUGAUUGAGCUAUGAGAACAACCAUCAACCAUGGAUUCCCAAGUUUCAAAUGGAUUCACAAAAACACACAGAGCUGUUUAUUUAUUUUUCGUAUCCAAAUACAGGACAUGAAAACCCUUUCAGCCUCACACUUCUUAGAUACAUAACGACAACAGGAGAGACAUCCCCACUAUAUUCACACACAUGCAACAAACAUCUUCCAUUGCAUACUUACUACAGCAGAAAGCCCAUAAAACCCGACACAAGCAGCGCUUGCCUGCUUAAGCUCUGCGGCACGCAUCUCCAUCGCAGUUCCAUCCUUCCUUUCCCUUUUCAGUUCCAGUAUCUUCAUCUUCCUUCAAAGCACACUUAGGGUGAAGAUCAAAGUCACAUUGUUUGCAAUGGAAAGACCACCUAUUUCCAGUUUCCCCACAGCCAUCGCAAAUAUAUGUUUUGCGUUUAGUACGUAUCAGCUCAUGCUCAGUAUGAAGUUCGUGUUUCACUUUCUCUGGCCACCCCUUUGCCUUUUCCUCAAGCUCCUCCUCCAAUUGCUUUAGAUGUUCCUCGGUAAAUGGAAAAGCAUCUGCCCCGUAAGCUGUCAAGUGCAUCCGAGCUUCCUUGGUAAUGGUCCGGCCACUUGGGCCAAUCGCUACAGCUGCAGGAAUGCCUUGAAUUUUGAAUUUCCGACUCAGGAUUUGUUUCCUUCCAUCACCAAAUGGAAGGGCUAACCAAGGCAUUUCUGAAUAGAACUCGUCAAAGGUGGUUUGAUCGCUGUCACUUGAGAUGAAGAUCACCUCAAAUGCAUUGUCUUUUGCUUUAAUUGCGUGGUAUGCUUCAAUUAGCUUGGGUAAAAAGGCACGACAAGGAGGGCACCAUUGAGCUGAGAAGUAAAGAAGAAUGUUCUUUCCAACUAGAUCGGACACUGGGACCUAAUCAAAGAGUAAACCAUUUGAAUGAUAAAAAAAACCUUUGCUAAUGAAUUCAAUUCGUGAUAAUAAGAAAGUUAUUGAAAGUAAUGCAAUAACAACAUGCGAGGUUAGCAUAGAACAAAAAAAAUUACCUUGGAGCCACUUUUGCCAAUCACAAAAUCAUUUUCCCCAUUAACCAAAACUGACUCAAGCGUCUGCGAUUCCAGUUUUGCCUUUUCAAUUGCAGCUAGCUCGUCAAGCUUUUCCGGUGUAAAUGGGUAGGCUUCGAUACCAUGUUCUUCGAUUAGUUCAGCUACAUUUGGGUUCAAAGUCUUCCCAUCUUGGCCAAUUAUAACAAGAUUAGGAAUGGUUCUAAGUUCAAAAUACCGCACUAGCUUCUCGCAGCUCUUGUCCUUCAAUGGCAAUGCCAACCAAGGCAUUGUCUCAAAACUCUCUUUGAAGUCUUCUUCUUCGUCGUCUAGAGAUACUAGGACUACUUCAAAGUUCUCUCCUUUUUCCUUGAGCGUCUUAUACAAUUCCACUAGUUUAGGAGUGAAUUCACCGCACAUCCUAUGAGCAUGGACUGAAAAAUACAAGCCAACCAAUUUUCCUUCAAGGUCCAACACAGGGAUCUGCCAUUACAGAUAGCAAAAAUGUGAAUUAUGGCAUCAUCAAUUCAAUUUCAAAACUAGCUAAUUGAAUGAAGCAUCUACCUUUUUUCCAUCAUUUGAAAUCACAUAAUCACGUGAGCUUGAAACCAAGAUAGAGCUUAUGGUUUGAUUCUUCUUAGCAUUCUCUUCUUGCUCUUUAAGGAAAUUCAGUCUAUCAAGGUUGAACGGAUACCCAUCCACGCCAUGUUCCUUGACAGUGCUGACUCCAUUAUCGCAGGAAACCUUACCAUUAGUAUCAAAAAUGACAAGUCUAGGGAUCCCUCUUACUUUGAACAAUUCCUUAAGACGUUGGCGGGUCUCGGUUUCAGAGAAGGGAAUAGCAAGCCAUGGCAUUUCGGAGAAGUACGUGUUGAAGGAUUCAUCGUCUCCAUCAGAAGAAAUGAAGACCACCUCAAAGCCCCCUUUGGAUGAUAGGUGUUCAUAGACUUCUACCAACAAUGGAGUGAAAUUACGGCAUGGGCCGCACCACGAACCAGAGAAAUAGAAUCCCACAAUCUUCCCAACCAAAUCGCUGACCUUGACCUAAAAAUUAAGAUCAGAAAAAAACAUCAGCCCUUGACGAAUCAAAAUCUUAUUCAUGGUUUCUUUCUCUUGCCAGUGAGAGAAGCAACAAAAAAAAGAGCCUUUUCUUAAUCAUAAAAGCUUCAGAAAUUGGUCAUAAAUUUGUUCUUCAGCAAGGCUUGCAGUCUAAUUUAAACAUGAUAUUCAUCUUAAUUACUAGAAAAACCUACAAGUUCAUAUAAAAAAAGACGUCAACUUAUAAUAAGGCAAGAAGAAGUAGACUUGAAUAAGAUCAGAUCGAGGAACUCAUAUGCUAAAAGCAGUACCUGAUCACCAUUGUUGCGGAUGAGAAAGUCCCUCUCUUCUGAAGAAAGAAGCGUUGAAAGGUCGAGGGAAACGUCUUCGGUGGCCAUAGUUAGCUAUGUGAUGAACUACUCAAAAGGCUAGAACAAUUGCCAAUCCCAGUUGCUAUGUAAUGGAACUUCCAGGCUAAGGCUCCUUUAAAUUACCUACACGCCCGGCCUAGGAAAUUAUUGUUCUAAUAAUUCAACGACGACUUCAAGACUUGGCUGGCGUCGGGUGAUGACGAAGACAUUAUGACGUAGGUCUGCUGAAGUGGUAUUCGCAUUAUCACGUGCUUCUACAACUCUCCUCUUGCUUUUUUUUUUUAAUCUCCUUUUUUUGUUUUUGUUUGUAUUCUAGUUUUAUCCAUGGUUUAAUAAUUUUUUUUGUGAGUUUGUUAUUAAAUGUAUUUUGUGUUUUAUCUUUUUAAUAAAAUCUUUAUAUUUCUUGAUACAAAAAAAUCCUUAAUUGGUUUUUUUAAUUAAAAAAUUAUUCUCUUUUGUUUUUGAUGCAUUUGAAAAUGAAUUUUUCUAUCAAUUUUUUUUCUAAUAUAAAUCAAUAAUCAUAUGUAAAGCAUAGUUGAAAUGAAUGAACGAACAAACAAACUAUAUACAUGACAUCUUACAUAGGAAGCUUAGGAAAGGAUGAAGGCCAAGAAUAAUGUAAAAUAAAACCUAUGCCUCCACUACCAAUAAUGUAAAAAUAAUUAUUGAGAAAAAUAAAUCAUAAAAAUAUACUUCCAGCUCUAGUCAUCCAAAGCUUCUUAAGUCUCAGAAAAAAAAAACAUUUAACACAAACCUCAAUAAAAUUCAAAUGCUAAUUAAAUUCAGAUUUUUGUAACGUAGUCUAUUUUCUAUCAAAUGUGACUUGAUAAUAAUCACAUGCAAUUUAAUAGACAGGCUAAAAUCCAAACUUGAUAUAGUUCUUGGGUUAUAAUAGAGUUUUUCAAUAAUAAAACUCUUAACUUUUUUUUUAUUUUAAAAAUAAUGAUAUUGCAUAUAUUUAAUAAUUAUAAAUAAAAUUAUAUUGUGUAUUUGAGCCACGUCAGGACUCUAUUUCAAUAAAGAGACCCUAUUUUUCCAGGGGAGAAAGAAAGAGUUUUUAAAUGCAAUACUUUGUCAUAAGUCGUGACUUUUCCACACUCAAAAGGGCACCAUACAUAUAUGUCAUUAUACUUUAUCUCCAAACGUAAUUAAAUUAGUCAAUUAAUUGUAAGUGAGGGAAGUUAAUGAAUUUCCACUCUAAAAUGUUCAAAUUCAUUAUCCGUUUUCAACUUUAUCCUGAUUAAAUCAGGUUAAGUAGAUUACUUUCUUCAUUCGUGGGUAUCCAUCAGAUAUCCUAAUCUAUUUUUUAAUUAAUUUUAUAAAAAUCAAACCUAAACUAAAAAAACAAAAUAAUGCUUUAUUUAUGAAUCAUAAAACUAUGAAAUUAAAUUAAAUAUAAAACCAAGAGAUCUGGUUAGUUUAGUGUUGUUGCAAUGUGAAUAAAAACUCAAAAUAUCACGGAUUGAAAUAGUGUUCUAGUUAUUUUUUGAAAUUUUUUUCAUUAUAGUUACCAAACACUUUUUAAAAUUUCUUUUAUCUUUGACAUUUCAUUAAUAGAGAAUUUGGACUUAUUGGUUGGUUUUGAUUGGUUUUCUAUAAUUUUUUUUUUGAAAAAUUAAAUGUCAUUAUAUUAGAGUGAUGUUCGAUUUUACAAAAUAGAAUCCUAUUUUAUUGCAUACAAAAAUUUAAGACUUAGGGGGGCCAAAAUUGAUAGUUAGCAAUGUUAAAGAAUCAUCUUAACCCAAUAGCUUAAGUUUUCAAGUGACGUUCCAAGAUAUGAUUUAUACUAUUCUCUAACACAUCCCCUCAAGUAAAAGCUCUUUGGUCUUGAAAUUUGCACAGACUCACAUUAUUUUGUGCUUAAUUUUUAUCAAAUAAAUAGGGAUGGUGAGAUUCGAACUCGUGACCGCUUGGUUAUCAAGGCUCUGAUACCAUGUCAAAGAACCUUCUCAACCCAAUAGCUUAAGCUUUCAUGUGAGGUCCCAGAAUAUAAUUUAUAUUAUUCUCUAACAAGUAAGAAUUUAAGGUUUUUUUAUUUGAUAAAUGUUCAUUUCACAUCAUUUUACUUUGAAAAAUUUAUAUUUUGAUCCAAAACUCUAUUUUAAUCACAUUUCAGACUAUGAGUUUUAGAAAAAAGAUAAAAAUUCAUUAAAAAUAGCGAAAGAGAGAGAAACACAUACACUGACAAGGUUUUGUUUGUGAAAAUAGCUUAAAUGUGUGUCAAUGUGUUAUUCUUGACAAAAAGAGUGCUACUAUAAUGUUUUUAAGCUUUAUAUUGUCAAAAAAGAUAAAUCGAGGUUGAGAGAAUUAUUUUUAAGUUAAACUUUGUGUUUUAAAAUUAUUUUAGAGUUUCUUUUUAGUUGAUGGAUUAGUUUAGAGACAAUUUAAAAGUAUUUAUAAGAUGUUUUUAAAUAAAAAUAUAUUAAAAAAUAGAAUUUUAAAUAAAAAACUCCAACCCAAUUCUUUAACCACUUCUCUAUUAUAAAAAAAAUAUAAAGCAAAUGAUGUGACAAAAAAAUAAAUCAAGCAAAUGAUUGUCAUUUGUUUUAUUAAAAAAAAAAAUAAAGGACAAAUACUAUGUCAUCCAUCAAAGAUAAAAUAAAAUGGCUCUUUCAUCUUUUGGAUAAGCAUGCCGAGUCACUUGGCCCCACAAACAUGGCUUGUUUCUAGCUUCUUUUUUUUUUUUUAUGAAUCUUUAUCCUUGAAUUUUAAUUUUAUUUCAUUAAAAUUAAUUAUUUAAAAACACAUAAGGAUAUUAUUUUAGUAAAUACUUGAAUUAUUAAGAAUAUAUACGAAAUAUUAUUUUAUUAGAUAUCAUUUAAUUUUUAUUUUAUUUUAAAAUAAAAUUAUAAUAUUCAUUAUAUAAUAUUAGUAAGAGAUGUUUUUUGGACAACCUAUCAUGAUAUUCCUUAUCUUUGCACAUUCGGUGUCAGAGACUAUAAUAAUAGAUUCCAUGGAAAACAUUAAGGGUAAGAUUCAAUUAUUAAAUGAUAAUCGACUAAAAUAGUGUUUGGAGCCGAUCUGUAUUUUUUAAAAAUUCAAAAUUAUUUUUAUUAAAAAUUAAUUUUUUUUUAUAUUUUGGAUCGUUUUGAUGAGCUGAUUUCAAAAAUAAUUUAAAAAAAUAUCAUUUUGAUGCAUUUCAGAAUAAAAAAUACUUUGAAAAGCAAUCGUCACCAUACUCCCAAACAAGAAUUAAGAACAUGUUUAAAAAUGUAGUAGAUGAUGAGUUUUAAAAUAUUUUUUACUCGAAAAUAUAUUAAAAAAUAUAUAUAUUUUUUAAUUUUUUAAAAUUUAUUUUUAACAUCAAUACAUUAAGACAAUUCAAAAACACUAUAAAAAAAAAUAAAUUUUAAACAAAUAAUACUUUGCCCCAUUUAACUAUAAACAAAAUCAUCGUAUUCUUAAUCUAUUUGUCACAUCAUGAAACAUGAUGAUCAUUAACUGGCAAACACAACACCAACACCAUUACGUAGAAAUCAAGUAUGAAGGGCUCGUAAAUCUAGUCGAUAUAUGUAUAAAUUAGCCCGAACAUUCACAUUAAUAAAAACAAAAAAUCAUGUGUGACACUUAAAAUUUAUCAUAACAAAUUGAUCAAAUUAUAAAGUAAUCCCUAUAUUUUUAAGAAAUUAAUAGCUCACUCCCUUUUUUUAAAAUAAGCCAUAUUUUACCUCCAUGUUAUCAUUUCCAUUUACUGUAACUUAGUUCUUCCUUUAGUUUUACAUUAUAAAAGUGCUAAACCAUUACUUUAGGUAUUAGUGAAAAAAAAAAAAAAGUAUCUAUUAACGGAUUGACGGUCAAAGCUUCUCAAUUGAGUAACUUUUUGGUUUUUAAAAACAGAAGGACUAACAUAUUGGUUUAUUGAGAAUAUGAGGAUUCAAUUAUAAUUUACUUCAGGAAACAAAUAUGAUGCUAUUGACAUCCCCACAAGUGAACUGGCACAAUUAUUGUUUAUAUAAAAUUUCAAAAUUAUUUAUUCUUAAUUUUAACAUUUUAUUUUUAAAAUUUUAUUGUAAUGAAGUGACAGAGUAUGCUAAGAGUAUACCAAAAUAAAACACUGUUGUUUUAAUAUAAAAAUUAAUUUACAGGUUGACUGGAUAGCCUUAUAACCUAGAUGUUUUUCGAAGUUAGUUUUGAAUGAAUGGAGUGUUAUUAGUUAGUUCAGCGUGAUAAUUGGACUGAAAAUCUUUCGUUCUAAAUUAUCAACCAUUCAGAAUUGUUUUGUGCGUGAGGAUGCCAAAUUACCAAAACUAAACCCUAUUUAUAAUCCAUCACCUAUCAAUAGUGAUGUAAGAGUUCCAGCUUGUUUUCUGCAGCUGUGCCAAAACCUGGAGGGUCUAUACUAGCCCAGCAGUCCUUCCCCCGUCGUAAGGUAAGAGCCCAGCACCAGCAGUGUCCUUCCUCCGUCGUAGAGGGGUCCAUACACGAGAUGGCCAGAGAUAGUCAGUGAUUUCGAAAUAUUCCUUUUCAGACUGCAACAAUUGAUAAGGUUUUGUGGCUGUCAUGGCGAAGGCAAAUUAAAGCACAUGAGAUUCAGUGGUGAGAAGCUAUGGAAAGUGGCAAAAAGAAACAGCGAGAACAUGAAACACGCAUUUGAACAUGAAAAAGUAAAUAAGCUGAACAUAAUUAAUGGGCCAUAGAAGCGAAGGUUUUUUCAAUGGCUUCAAACUUUUUGGCAGCGUGCUUGAUUGUUGUCGCCGAAUUUCUUGGCAGUGUGCUUGCUUGAAUUGCGGAUGUAUCACAUGGAUGAUAUUUUCGUUCUUUUGAGGCAUCAAAUAAUAUGGUGUCACGAGAAUUAAGCAAAUAGAAAAGCAUUAAAUUUACGGAAAUCUUUUCCUGUGGUCUUGGUGUAGUUGUUGGCUUUGCUAGCUUCUCCAAGCUCACCACUAAUCCUAUCUGUCCUUUGCGUCCCAUGAACUGAUACAAGCAAUAGCCUGCCCGUGAUUCUGGUUUAAUUGAUUGCAGACAUGUUCAUCAACAAACGCAGGUGUCCGCCCUCCAAAUAACUGCCAUGAACCCAGUUUCCACCUGCUGGGAUUUCAUUUGUCUUUCUUAGUUCUGAGUUCGAAUUAAUGCUGCUUUCUUGAUUCUGAAAUCCGCCUCAACAAGUUAUUUGAGAAGGCAAAGAGGGGGGAAAAUGACUAUCCAGUUGCUUGGAUUGGAAAUUCUAGUUUCUUUUACGGUGGAGUUACAAUGGUUUCAUUGUAUAAUGCUGGUUAAGUCACAAUCAGCCCAGUUUUUGUAUUUAAUCAGCAUUACAAUUACAGGAAUAUUUGCUCAAAUGGGUCACAGGAUUCACAAAAACACAGAGAGCUGUUUAUUUAUUUUUCGUAUCCAAAUACAGGACAUGAAAACCCUUUCAGCCUCACACUUCUUAGAUACAUAACGACAUCAGGAGAGACAUCCCCACUAUAUUCACACACAUGCAACAAACAUCUUCCAUUGCAUACUCACUACAGCAGAAAGCCCAUAAAACCAGACACAAGCAGCGCUUGCCUGCUUAAGCUCUGCGGCACACAUCUCCAUCGCAGACCCAUCCUUCCUUUCCCUUUUCAGUUCCAGUAUCUUCAUCUUCCUUCAAAGCACACUUAGGGUGAAGAUCAAAGUCACAUUGUUUGCAAUAGAAAGACCACCUAUAUCCCGUUUCCCCACAGCCAUCGCAACCGUAUGCACUGCGUUUAGUACGUAUCAGCUCAUGCUCAGUAUGAAGUUCGUGUUUCACUUUCUCUGGCCACCCCUUUGCCUUUUCCUCAAGCUCCUCCUCCAAUUGCUUUAGAUGUUCCUCGGUAAAUGGAAAAGCAUCUGCCCCGUAAGCUGUCAAGUGCAUCCGAGCUUCCUUGGUAAUGGUCCGGCCACUUGGGCCAAUCGCUACAGCUGCAGGAAUGCCUUGAAUUUUGAAUUUCCGACUCAGGAUUUGUUUCCUUCCAUCACCAAAUGGAAGGGCUAACCAAGGCAUUUCUGAAUAGAACUCGUCAAAGGUGGAUUGAUCUCUGUCGCUUGAGAUGAAGAUCACCUCAAAUGCAUUGUCUUUUCUUUUAAUUGUGUGGUAUGCUUCAAUUAGCUUGGGUAAAAAGGCACGACAUGGAGGGCACCAUUGAGCUGAGAAGUAAAGAAGAAUGUUCUUUCCAACUAGUUCAGACACUGGGACCUAAUCAAGAGCAAACCAUUUGUAUAAUAUAAAAAACCUUAGCUAAUGAAUUCAAUUCGUGAUAAUAAGAAAGUUAUUGAAAGUAAUGCAAUAACAACAUGCGAGGUUAGCAUAGAACAAAAAACAUUACCUUGGAGCCACUUUUGUCAAUCACAAAAUCAUUUUCCCCAUUAACCAAAACUGACUCAAGCGUCUGCGAUUCCAGUUUUGCCUUUUCAAUUGCAGCUAGCUCGUCAAGCUUUUCCGGUGUAAAUGGGUAGGCUUCAAUACCAUGUUCUUCGAUUAGUUCAGCUACAUAUGGGUUCAAAGUCUUCCCAUCUUGGCCAAUUAUGACAAGAUUAGGAAUGGUUCUAAGUUCAAAAUACCGCACUAGCUUCUCGCAGCUCUUGUCCUUAAAAGGCAAUGCCAACCAAGGCAUUGUCUCAAAACUCUCUUUGAAGUCUUCUUCUUCGUCGUCUAGAGAUAUUAGGACUACUUCGAAGUUCUCUCCUUUUUCCUUGAGCGUCUUAUACAGUUCCACUAGUUUAGGAGUGAAUUCACGGCACAUCCUAUGAGCAUGGGCUGAAAAAUACAAGCCAACCAAUUUUCCUUCAAGGUCCAACACAGGGAUCUGCCAUUACAGAUAGCAAAAAUGUGAAUUAUGGCAUCAUCAAUUCAAUUUCAAAACUAGCUAAUUGAAUGAAACAUCUACCUUUUUUCCAUCAUUUGAAAUCACAUAAUCACGUGAGCUGGAAACCAAGAUAGAGCUUAUGGUUUGAUUCUUCUUAGCAUUCUCUUCUUGCUCUUUCAGGAAAUUCAGUCUAUCAAGGUUGAACGGAUACCCAUCCACGCCAUGUUCCUUGACAUGUCUAACUCCAUUAUCGGAGGAAACCUUACCAUUAGUAUCAAAAAUGACAAGCCUAGGGAUCCCUCUUACUUUGAACACUUCCUUAAGACGUUGGCGGGUCUCCGUAUCAGAGAAGGGAAUAGCAAGCCAAGGCAUUUCGGAGAAGUAUGUAUUGAAGGAUUCAUCGUCUCCGUCAGAAGAAAUGAAGACCACCUCAAAUCCCCCUUUGGAUGAUAGUUGUUCAUAGACUUCUACCAACAGUGGAGUGAAAUUACGGCAUGGGCCGCACCACGAACCAGAGAAAUAGAAUCCCACAAUCUUCCCAACCAAAUUACUGACCUUAACCUAAAAAUUAGUGUCGAGCAUAAUCAGAAAAAAAACAUUAGCCCAUAAAUUAAGAGGGUAAACAAAAACUGAGGCUUUUCUUAAUCAUAAAAGCUCUAGAAAUUGGUCAUAAACUUGUUCUUCAGCAAGGGUCGCACUCUAAUUUAAACAUGAUAUCCAUCUUAAUUACGAGAAAAAGUUUAAUAAGACAAGUAGAAGUAGAUCGCAUAAGACCAGAGAAAUCCAUAA